AAGUCGUAACAAGGUCUCCGUAGGUGAACCUGCGGAGGGAUCAUUAACUUGUAUGUUGAUGUGUAAUGCAUCAACAAUCAAACAACCAAAAUACAAACCAAACCCGCGAAUUCGAGUAUUCAUUUACUCAUCCCCCCAGCCCCGACAUUGAAAAGCGAAACGGAGCAUUUAGUUGCUGACCAGUGGCGCUUCACCAAUUGGAAUGGUGGAAUGGUAGCAUUGAUUUGCUGUCAUUCUGCCUGGUGACGUCACCUCGUCUAGUAGAUAUCGGCCAAUUUUUUCACAACAACCUAUUUCACCCGCUCGUAUAAACAUUGACUGAAAACAAAAGGCGUUUGUUACGAAAGUGACAAAUACCUGAAACCUUCGAAUUAUUCGAAAUCUAAGCACAACUCUUAGCAACGGAUAUCUUGGUUCUC
Molecule: unclassified non-coding RNA, 419 nt
Filed under: fungal sp.
Lineage: Eukaryota; Fungi
Description: partial internal transcribed spacer region
Rfam family: Eukaryotic small subunit ribosomal RNA (bases 1-46)
Source: RNAcentral